Molecule: ribosomal RNA, 252 nt
Filed under: uncultured bacterium
Lineage: Bacteria
Description: partial 16S ribosomal RNA
Rfam family: Bacterial small subunit ribosomal RNA
Source: RNAcentral
UACGUAGGGCGCAAGCGUUGUCCGGAAUUAUUGGGCGUAAAGAGCUCGUAGGCGGCCAGUUGCGUCUGCUGUGAAAUCCCGGGGCUCAACCCCGGGCGUGCAGUGGAUACGGGCUGGCUAGAGGCAGGCAGGGGAGAACGGAAUUCCCGGUGUAGCGGUGAAAUGCGCAGAUAUCGGGAGGAACACCGGUGGCGAAGGCGGUUCUCUGGCCUGUACUGACGCUGAGGAGCGAAAGCGUGGGGAGCGAACAGG